Molecule: long non-coding RNA, 450 nt
Filed under: Homo sapiens (human)
Lineage: Eukaryota; Metazoa; Chordata; Mammalia; Primates; Hominidae
Description: HSALNT0332408
Source: RNAcentral
GCUGGGAUUACAGGUGUCUUUGUGAAGCUUCCUAUCUUUGCUUUUCAACUAAGAUGAAACAGCAUUUAAAAGAAAAUGCCAUGUGAGAUGAGAUCAGGAGAAUGGAUUCUUUCUUUCAUCUGAAUAGAGAGCUGCUGUUCGAGAUUCAGAGUGUCAUGUGAAUGUUCGUUUCAUGGAUGUAUUGUGUACUGUAUUGAGGAUGAAAUACUACAGAUUGAAAUGCUCUGGAAUGCAGUUUUAAAACUUUCAUCUGAACAUCGUUACAUCUAUGCCCAGGAAUUUCCAAAUUCUAAACCAAAUGAUACAGCUAGAGUUUGAAGACAAUUUGAGAGCUGGUGAAGAUGACAGUUACUUCUUUCUGUUUCUUGCUCUUUGUAUAAUGGAAAUGAAUGUUACUUUUAAUGAGUCAGUUGCAAGAAAUUAAGAUAUCUGCUAGACUGGUUCUUUCUU